Molecule: ribosomal RNA, 1464 nt
Filed under: Klebsiella oxytoca
Lineage: Bacteria; Pseudomonadati; Pseudomonadota; Gammaproteobacteria; Enterobacterales; Enterobacteriaceae
Description: bacterial SSU rRNA
Rfam family: Bacterial small subunit ribosomal RNA
Source: RNAcentral
CUCAGAUUGAACGCUGGCGGCAGGCCUAACACAUGCAAGUCGAACGGUAGCACAGAGAGCUUGCUCUCGGGUGACGAGUGGCGGACGGGUGAGUAAUGUCUGGGAAACUGCCUGAUGGAGGGGGAUAACUACUGGAAACGGUAGCUAAUACCGCAUAACGUCGCAAGACCAAAGAGGGGGACCUUCGGGCCUCUUGCCAUCAGAUGUGCCCAGAUGGGAUUAGCUAGUAGGUGGGGUAACGGCUCACCUAGGCGACGAUCCCUAGCUGGUCUGAGAGGAUGACCAGCCACACUGGAACUGAGACACGGUCCAGACUCCUACGGGAGGCAGCAGUGGGGAAUAUUGCACAAUGGGCGCAAGCCUGAUGCAGCCAUGCCGCGUGUAUGAAGAAGGCCUUCGGGUUGUAAAGUACUUUCAGCGGGGAGGAAGGCGAUAAGGUUAAUAACCUUGUCGAUUGACGUUACCCGCAGAAGAAGCACCGCCUAACUCCGUGCCAGCAGCCGCGGUAAUACGGAGGGUGCAAGCGUUAAUCGGAAUUACUGGGCGUAAAGCGCACGCAGGCGGUCUGUCAAGUCGGAUGUGAAAUCCCCGGGCUCAACCUGGGAACUGCAUUCGAAACUGGCAGGCUGGAGUCUUGUAGAGGGGGGUAGAAUUCCAGGUGUAGCGGUGAAAUGCGUAGAGAUCUGGAGGAAUACCGGUGGCGAAGGCGGCCCCCUGGACAAAGACUGACGCUCAGGUGCGAAAGCGUGGGGAGCAAACAGGAUUAGAUCACCCUGGUAGUCCACGCUGUAAACGAUGUCGACUUGGAGGUUGUUCCCUUGAGGAGUGGCUUCCGGAGCUAACGCGUUAAGUCGACCGCCUGGGGAGUACGGCCGCAAGGUUAAAACUCAAAUGAAUUGACGGGGGCCCGCACAAGCGGUGGAGCAUGUGGUUUAAUUCCGCGAUGCAACGCGAAGAACCUUACCUACUCUUGACAUCCACGGAACUUAGCAGAGAUGCUUUGGUGCCUUCGGGAACUCUGAGACAGGUGCUGCAUGGCUGUCGUCAGCUCGUGUUGUGAAAUGUUGGGUUAAGUCCCGCAACGAGCGCAACCCUUAUCCUUUGUUGCCAGCGGUCCGGCCGGGAACUCAAAGGAGACUGCCAGUGAUAAACUGGAGGAAGGUGGGGAUGACGUCAAGUCAUCAUGGCCCUUACGAGUAGGGCUACACACGUGCUACAAUGGCAUAUACAAAGAGAAGCGACCUCGCGAGAGCAAGCGGACCUCAUAAAGUAUGUCGUAGUCCGGAUUGGAGUCUGCAACUCGACUCCAUGAAGUCGGAAUCGCUAGUAAUCGUGGAUCAGAAUGCCACGGUGAAUACGUUCCCGGGCCUUGUACACACCGCCCGUCACACCAUGGGAGUGGGUUGCAAAAGAAGUAGGUAGCUUAACCUUCGGGAGGGCGCUUACCACUUUGUGAUUCAUGAC